RNAcentral lists this ribosomal RNA (475 nucleotides) under uncultured bacterium. RNAcentral's name for it is "SSU rRNA". It matches the Rfam family "Bacterial small subunit ribosomal RNA", at positions 26 to 518 of the family's 1533-position model. The record is from RNAcentral.
AGGACGAACGCUGGCGGCGUGCUUAACACAUGCAAGUCGAACGGUGACCCAGGGCUUGCCCUGGUGAUCAGUGGCGAACGGGUGCGUAACACGUGGGGAACUUGUCCCGGUCUCUGGGAUAACAGUUGGAAACGACUGCUAAUACCGGAUGACGUCGGAACUUCGCAUGGAGUACUGACGAAAGGGUUACUGGAUCGGGAGAGCCUCGCGGCCUAUCAGCUUGUUGGUGGGGUAAUGGCCUACCAAGGCAUCGACGGGUAGCUGGUCUGAGAGGAUGAUCAGCCACACUGGGACUGAGACACGGCCCAGACUCCUACGGGAGGCAGCAGUGGGGAAUCUUGCACAAUGGGCGAAAGCCUGAUGCAGCAACGCCGCGUGCGGGAAGAAGGCCCUCGGGUUGUAAACCGCUUUCAGAAGGAACGAAACUGACGGUACUUUCAGAAGAAGGUGCGGCCAACUACGUGCCAGCAGCCGC